This 253-nucleotide ribosomal RNA is filed under the name uncultured bacterium. RNAcentral describes it as "partial 16S ribosomal RNA". It matches the Rfam family "Bacterial small subunit ribosomal RNA", at positions 524 to 776 of the family's 1533-position model. The record is from RNAcentral.
UACAGAGGUCUCAAGCGUUGUUCGGAUUCAUUGGGCGUAAAGGGUGCGUAGGCGGCGCGGUAAGUCGGGUGUGAAAUUUCGAGGCUUAACUUCGAAACUGCAUUCGAUACUGCCGUGCUUGAGGACUGGAGAGGAGACUGGAAUUUACGGUGUAGCGGUGAAAUGCGUAGAUAUCGUAAGGAAGACCAGUUGCGAAGGCGGAUCUCUGGGCAGUUCCUGACACUGAGGCACGAAGGCCAGGGGAGCAAACGGG